This 402-nucleotide ribosomal RNA is filed under the name uncultured bacterium. RNAcentral describes it as "bacterial SSU rRNA". It matches the Rfam family "Bacterial small subunit ribosomal RNA", at positions 355 to 750 of the family's 1533-position model. The record is from RNAcentral.
UUUCGAAUCAUUCACAAUGGGCGCAAGCCUGAUGGUGCGACGCCGCGUGAGGGAUGAAGGUCUUCGGAUUGUAAACCUCUGUCACUGGGGAGAAAACGCUUUGAGUUAAUAGUUCAAAGCCUGAUUUAACCCGGAGAGGAAGCAGUGGCUAACUCUGUGCCAGCAGCCGCGGUAAUACAGAGACUGCAAGCGUUAUUCGGAUUCACUGGGCGUAAAGGGUGCGCAGGCGGUUGGGUGUGUCAGAUGUGAAAUCCCGAGGCUUAACCUCGGAACUGCGUCUGAAACUACUCGACUAGAGUACUGGAGAGGGAAACGGAAUUCACGGUGUAGCAGUGAAAUGCGUAGAUAUCGUGAAAAACACCAGAGGCGAAGGCGGUUUCCUGGACAGUUACUGACGCUCAG